GCCAGGGUGGCGUAGUGGUUAGCGCUACUGCCUAGUGAGCAGGAGAACCGGGUUUGAACCCUGGUCUUGGUA
Molecule: non-coding RNA, 72 nt
Organism: Schistocerca cancellata (South American locust)
Lineage: Eukaryota; Metazoa; Arthropoda; Insecta; Orthoptera; Acrididae
Source: the annotation of a RefSeq genome assembly